GUUACUCAUAAUCUCAAGAAUUCAGCUUAUAUGUCACUUCCUGAGGGAAGCUUUUCCUGAUACUCUGAGCCUACUAGACUACAUUAAAUCCCCUUCUAAAGACCCCCAUAGGAGUUCCCGUCACGACUCAGUGGUAAUGAACCUGACUAGCAUCCAUGAUGACGCAGGUUCGAUCCCUGGCCUUGAUCAGUGAGUUAAGGAUCUGGCCUUGCUGCAAGCUGUGGUGUAGGUCACAGACGCGGCUUGGAUCUGGCAUUGGUGUGGCUGUAGUGUAGAUGGGCAGCUACAGCUCUGAUUCGACCCCUAGCCUGGGAACUUCCACAUGCUUUGGGUGUGGCUCUAAAAAGAAGAAGGGGAAAAAAAAAAAAAAGGCUCUUACAGCCCUCUCUACUCCCUCCUUGAUAAAUAAAUGCAGCUGAGCUGCCAAAGUGCUAAGAGGUAAUCCAGAAGUCUAUGGCGGUGGGAAUCACAGCAACAUAGGCACCCCUGUCUAACCCCUCCCCUCAUAAAGGACCUCUAGUUAGAGCCAUGCCCUUGUAUCCUGUCUCAUUCUCUCUGGUUUCAGUGGCUCACAAAUCCCCUGGGAGAGAGAGGAGAAAAGGCUUGUAGCUGUUACUGCAGGUAAAUCAUUAGAGGCAAAGUUGGCUCGUGGAUCUUCAACCUCACAGUGCCAUUUAUAAAUUGGGGGGCAUUCUUCUAUCAAUUAAGACAACAUAAAAUAUUUGAUUCCAUUUAGAGCUUUUUUGUUUGUUCUAAAACAGGGAAAUAGUAAACAUAAUAGUUUUCCUUCAUUAAAAUCUGGGUCAUAGUCGUCCUGCUCCUGGGGAUGUUGUUCAUAAUAAUCCUUAAUAUUUGUUAAGAUUACUGGCCAGAGUAGGUGUAUCUGUUUGGUUUUCCAUGGUGAGUGCAUUUUGCCAUGAUCAGGUUUUUUUUGUUUUUUUUUUUUUUUUCUUUUUAAGGCUGCGCCUGCGGCAUAUGGAGGUUUCCAAGCUAGGGGGUCUAAUUGUAGCUGUACCUGCCGGCCUAGGCCACAGCUCACAGCAAUGCCGGAUCCUUAACCCACUGAGCAAGGCCAAUGAUUGAAGCCGCACCUCAUGGUUCCUAGUCAGAUUCAUUUCUACUGCAUCAGAAUGGGAACUCCACCAUGAUCCUUUAUACUAGCUCUGCUGCUACACUCCCAGGCCAGGCCACCAAUAUCUCUGACCUGGGCUCUUUCCAUCCUAACUGGUUGCCCAGGCUUCAUCCUUAGCUCCCCACUGUUCAUCUUCCACAGCUACAGGCAGCCAUAGUGAUCCUUCUAAAGGGUAAAUCCGAUUAGAUCAUGUCUUUGCUUAAAAGUCUUCAGUAGUUCUAUUACACUUAGAAGAAAAAAAUCCAGGAGUUCCCGUCGUGGCGCAGUGGUUAACAAAUCUGACUAGGAACCAUGAGGUCGUGGGUUUGAUCCCUGGCUUUGCUCAGUGGGUUAAGGGUCCGGCGUUGCCAUGAGCUGUGGUGUAGGUCACAGACAUGGCUCAGAUCCUGCAUUGCUGCGGCUUGGAUCCCAUGUUGCUGUGGCGCUGACGUAGGCGGCAGCUGCGGCUCCAGUUAGACCCCUAGCCUGGGAACCUCCAUAUGCCACGGGAGCAGCCCUAGAAAUGGCAGAAAGACCAAAAAAAGAAAGAAAAAAAAAA
RNAcentral lists this long non-coding RNA (1670 nucleotides) under Sus scrofa (pig). Its description in RNAcentral is "lncRNA (ENSSSCG00025021106.1)". Lineage: Eukaryota; Metazoa; Chordata; Mammalia; Artiodactyla; Suidae. The record is from RNAcentral.